This 465-nucleotide ribosomal RNA is filed under the name uncultured bacterium. RNAcentral describes it as "partial 16S ribosomal RNA". It matches the Rfam family "Bacterial small subunit ribosomal RNA", at positions 339 to 795 of the family's 1533-position model. The record is from RNAcentral.
CUACGAGUGGCAGCAGUGGGGAAUAUUGGACAAUGGGGGAAACCCUGACCCAGCAAUGCCGCGUGUGUGAAGAAGGCCUGCGGGUUGUAAAGCACUUUCGGUUGGGAGGACUGCUUCUAGCACUAAUAUUGUUGGAAGUUGACGUUACCUUCAGAAGAAGCACCGGCUAACUCCGUGCCAGCAGCCGCGGUAAUACGAAGGGUGCAAGCGUUAAUCGGAAUUACUGGGCGUAAAGCGCGCGUAGGCGGCUAGAUCAGUCGGGUGUGAAAGCCCCGGGCUUAACCUGGGAACUGCAUCCGAUACUGUCUAGCUUGAGUACAGGAGAGGAGAGUGGAAUUCCACAUGUAGCGGUGAAAUGCGUAGAUAUGUGGAGGAACACCAAUGGCGAAGGCAGCUCUCUGGCCUGAUACUGACGCUGAGGUACGAAAGCGUGGGGAGCAAACAGGAUUAGAUACCCCAGUAGUC